CGGAGUUAGCCGGUGCUUAUUCCUUAGGUACCGUCACUAUCUUCCCUAAGAAAAGAGCUUUACGACCCAAAGGCCUUCUUCACUCGCGCGGUAUUGCUGCGUCAGGCUUUCGCCCAUUGCGCAAAAUUCCCCA
This 133-nucleotide ribosomal RNA is filed under the name uncultured bacterium. Its description in RNAcentral is "partial 16S ribosomal RNA". The record is from RNAcentral.